RNAcentral lists this ribosomal RNA (406 nucleotides) under uncultured bacterium. RNAcentral's name for it is "partial 16S ribosomal RNA". It matches the Rfam family "Bacterial small subunit ribosomal RNA", at positions 30 to 526 of the family's 1533-position model. The record is from RNAcentral.
AUUGAACGCUGGCGGCAGGCCUAACACAUGCAAGUCGAACGAGUGGCGGACGGGUGAGUAAUGUCUGGGAAACUGCCUGAUGGAGGGGGAUAACUACUGGAAACGGUAGCUAAUACCGCAUACCCUCAGCGGUGCCCAGAUGGGAUUAGAUUUGUGGUGGGGUAACGGCUCACCAAGGCGACGAUCCCUCGCUUGUCUGAGAGGAUGACCAGCCACACGGGAACUGAGACACGGUCCAGACUCCUACGGGAGGCAGCAGUGGGGAAUAUUGCACAAUGGGCGCAAGCCUGAUGCAGCCAUGCCGCGUGUAUGAAGAAGGCCUUAGGGUUGUAAAGUACUUUCAGCGGGGAGGCGUUACCCGCAGAAGAAGCACCGGCUAACUCCGUGCCAGCAGCCGCGGUAAUUC